RNAcentral lists this ribosomal RNA (415 nucleotides) under uncultured prokaryote. Its description in RNAcentral is "partial 16S ribosomal RNA". It matches the Rfam family "Bacterial small subunit ribosomal RNA", at positions 505 to 918 of the family's 1533-position model. The record is from RNAcentral.
GUGUCAGCCGCCGCGGUAAUACGGAGGAUGCAAGCGUUAUCCGGAAUCAUUGGGUGUAAAGGGUGCGUAGGCGGGCUAUUAAGUCUGGGGUGAAAUCUUGCCGCUUAACGGUAAAAUGGCCUUGGAUACUGGUAGUCUUGAGUGUAGAAGAGGCAGGUGGAAUUCGUAGUGUAGCGGUGAAAUGCAUAGAUAUUACGAAGAACAUCAGUGGCGAAGGCGGCCUGCUGGUCUACAACUGACGCUGAGGCACGAAAGCGUGGGGAGCGAACAGGAUUAGAUACCCCUGUAGUCCUAGCUGUAAACGAUGGAGACUAGGUGUGGCCUGUAUCGACCCGGGCCGUGCCGGAGCUAACGCGUUAAGUCUCCCGCCUGGGGAGUACGCACGCAAGUGUGAAACUCAAAUGAAUUGACGGGG